Molecule: ribosomal RNA, 229 nt
Filed under: uncultured bacterium
Lineage: Bacteria
Description: partial 16S ribosomal RNA
Rfam family: Bacterial small subunit ribosomal RNA
Source: RNAcentral
UGCGUAGGCGGAUUAAUAAGUCAGUGGUGAAAUCUCUCGGCUCAACCGGGAAACUGCCAUUGAUACUGUUAAUCUUGAGUUCGGUUGAGGUAGGCGGAAUGUGUAAUGUAGCGGUGAAAUGCUUAGAUAUUACACAGAACACCAAUUGCCUAGGAAGCUUACUAGACCGACACUAACGCUGAGGCACGAAAGCGUGGGUAGCGAACAGGAUUAGAUACCCUGGUAGUCC